AAUCUUCGUCCGCACAAAUCCAUCUCGAAUCCUCCUGCUUCCGGCGAGCUCCAAGUCUUCGCAGCAUCAGCCAUGUCGGGCCGCGGCAAGGGAGGCAAGGGCCUGGGCAAGGGCGGCGCGAAGCGCCACCGGAAGGUGCUCCGCGACAACAUCCAGGGCAUCACGAAGCCGGCGAUCCGGAGGUUGGCGAGGAGGGGUGGCGUGAAGCGCAUCUCCGGCCUGAUCUACGAGGAGACUCGCGGCGUGCUCAAGAUCUUCCUCGAGAACGUCAUCCGCGACGCCGUUACCUACACGGAGCACGCCCGCCGCAAGACCGUCACCGCCAUGGACGUCGUCUACGCGCUCAAGCGCCAGGGCCGCACACUCUACGGCUUCGGCGGCUGAGCCUUGACCCCGUCCGCGUCCUGCAGGCUCGAGCUAGGGUUUCUGAUGGAUUUAGGGGAGUUGCUGUGUUGGGUUCUGUCCUGUGUCUAGCUGCGUUGUGGUGUUAACUUAAUAGGUGUUUAUGGUUGUAAUGGAGAAUUGGAAGCCUAUCAAUUGAAUGAAUGGAUGUUCGUAGGUAUAAUUUGGUGUUCUUGGUCCCUCUGUUCCCAUUGGCUCUGUUCUUGUUCUGAUGACUGGUCAAGUAUUGUUUGUGGCCCUCUUAAGUAGUCCUGUAAUGUUUCUUUGGAAAUUUGCAGUCUCCGUCGAUGAUUUGUGACUUUAAUUAACACUAGUUUGUGGUUUAUGUCUCAGUCUAGCCUGAUUAGCAAUCGAACAGGGAAAUCAAAAUCGCUAGAAAACGUUGUGCCGUCAAAGCAAAUUGGGCGCAUGAUUUGGUGGAUCUGAGACGGAUUCACUUCUGUCGUGAAGUCAGGAGACGCGUGAGCACUACGGCACCAAACUGUGAAUUCUUUAGUUCAAAAAAUGUGGCCUGGGUUGGUUUGUUGGGACACGACCCCGCUCAUAUCCGGCGAGAUGUCGUAAAGUGCCGGCCAAAAUUUCGAAAUCACGAAUGCAAUUCCUGAAAGCGAGAGAAAAACCGAAACCGAAAUUCAUAUGGCGAAAUAUCUCGAUGCCUAGCUUCGUUGGUCCGCGCCAUCUUGAUACUGGACCGAGAAUCUAAAACCUGCGAUUCCAUUUUCAGUGCGUGCUCGACACUAGCAUUGAGAUCCGAUUGAGAACCUGGCGAAGUCGACUCGCCAUCAAUCUGUUGUUCCCCUCUGAACGGAGCAGGAGGAACGAAGUCUGCAUAAAUGGAAAUGAUAAUCUCAAGUCCACAUCUGAAGGAGUCUACUAACCUUCCAGGCACCAACACAGGCAGGGACCAACCGACCCGACCCCGCAUCCACGCCGGCGCGCCACGCCCCCCGCCGCACCGACGUCCACGGCCCCAGGCGGCAACCGCCAAAGCGCCGGCGCGCCGUCCCGUCCCCUCCCCACCCGCCCUGCCGUUCCGCUGUUCCCAUCCCGCCGACCCGCUCCGCCACUCCCCAAUCUCUCCGUCCCCAACCCCACCAACCCACCAGGCGGCCGCGGCGCCCCCCUCUAAUCUCCCUCGCUUCCGCUCCACGGUGCCCGCCCGCCCACCGCUUGCCUGCCUGCCUAACCUCGUGCAGCCCGCGAUCCCGCGCCGCGACCCAGAUCUGGUGGCGCCUCGCUGCUCGCCGCUCGCGCGCGCGCUCAGGCGGCCGGCCGGUCGAUGGUUUCGGCCGCGGCGCAGGCGGGCGUGGUCGCGGCGUGCGUCGUGCUGUUCGUGCCCAUGGGGCUGGCGGGGUGGCACCUCAGCCGCAACAAGGUGCUCUUCUUCUCCGGCGCGCUCUUCGUCUCGCUCGCCGUCGGGGUCCACCUCUCCCCCUACCUCCCCUCCGUGCCCCACCUCCUCGCCGCCUCCUUCUUCACCCCCAGCCCCGGCGCCGCGUCCGCCUCCUCCUCCUCCUCCGGGUCCUCCUGCGUCCCGUUCCUGCACCGCGUGUCCUGGUCUGACGCCGACCCCGCGAAUGGCUUGGGAGGCGGAACGGCGCGGACGUGGUCGUGGCCGCCCUCGCUGGCGUCGGCCUGCGGGUUCGCGCGGCUGUCGCGCGACGACGCGUCUCUGCUGCUCAACGGGUCCUGGGUGAUGGUGGCCGGGGACUCGCAGGCGCG
Molecule: long non-coding RNA, 2124 nt
Filed under: Setaria italica (foxtail millet)
Lineage: Eukaryota; Viridiplantae; Streptophyta; Magnoliopsida; Poales; Poaceae
Description: long non-coding RNA (SITA_LNC007045)
Source: RNAcentral